Molecule: long non-coding RNA, 697 nt
Filed under: Mus pahari (shrew mouse)
Lineage: Eukaryota; Metazoa; Chordata; Mammalia; Rodentia; Muridae
Description: lncRNA (MGP_PahariEiJ_G0006391.1)
Source: RNAcentral
AGUUGUCCCGCGUGGCCCGGGCUGUGGGAAGCAAGUCCUGGCUCUUGGUCCGAGCCAUCGUGCUUUGUAAGAUGGAAGGGCAAAUCCACGCGAAUCUCUUGAAAAAGAGAGGAAUUCUGCCCAGACUCUCCAGCAGUUGGUAGCAGGCAAGCUUUCUCCUGUGUCGCCUGGAAAAGUUGCAAAAUUGCUCUUCACCUGUAAGAACAUGCAUUUUAUCUUCCAGUCUCUUCUUGUCAAUUUGGAAAUUGCAGACAGCCCGGCUCAGGAGAAAUGGCUUUGUGCAUUAAUUUCCCUGGCUGACACUGAGAAUAAGCAGCUCUGUCAGCCAUGGAAGUUGUUUGAAGGUGAUUAGGAGAGAAAUGACACCAAAGCCCCGAGCAAUGCUUUGCAGACGUCUAGGGGCUCAGGAUGUGUGAUGUAGCCCAGUUCUAUUUGUUGACAUCCAGCUUUUGAAAGCAUCGGCCUUUGAGAGUGGGACAAUAUUGGACCUAUAGGAGUCACCUUUACCUGGAAAUAUCAAAGGGUCAUGAAGUCAUCAUCAUCAUCAUCAUCAUCAUCACUAGCAGCAGCAGCAAGAUUUUGUGUUGGGAAGGUACUUCCACAUGCUACAGGGGACAGAAGGUCAUCAGCUGUUGGCCCAGGGAUUAUAGCAUGGAAGAGUUUCUCUUCUUAUAGGAUAUUAAACCUUUUGAGGAUU